AUGGAUUAAAGGUCAAGGGAUCUUGGUAUUUUGCUGGAUUCAGGUGCACAGCUGGGGGACACACCAUUACUGCCCAACCAGCUGGAAUGGUAUAUCCUGCAUUAUCAUCAAAUUUGAUGUGUGUUAGCUUUCAUAUUUAUUGCAAGGAUAAAUUUUUUUUUUUAAUAUAACAAUUUGAAGGUGGGUCUCAAAAUAUUUUUGAUGCAUAAUACCUUUGAAUUGGAUUUCUCUUAGUGCUUUCCUGAAGAUUCCCGGCACUAUAUUUGCUAGUCUAACUGUUUCAUUGAUGAACUGUAAGUUGCACUUGUCAGUAUGGAAACAAACAACCUUUCACAACUGAUAAUAUGUCCUUGUAAGUUUAAAUCACAAAUUCUCUCACCUGGAAUGUGUAUGUCAUUGAUUUAUAUUCUUUCCAUGUAAGUCCAGAGUCUGUGUCUUCCCUGUUUCGUAGAAUUGCCUCAUGCUCUUCCUAUAAAGUGGAAAUACAUAAGUUCCAUGUUUGUUUAGAAAAGGAUUCGGAUUUUGCAGAUUCAGGAAUCAAUUCACAUACCCUUAGUUUUUUCAGCACUGAAGGGUCGUCAGAAAGGAAUUUAAUUGCUAAAGUUAGAGCCAGGGAAGUUGUUUCAAAGCUAGCAAAUAGUAGAACGAACAUCAAAUCCAGAGCAAUUGCCUCUGUCAGAAUUGUUCCCUCUUUCUGAAGUUCUUCAAGGACAAAAUAAAAAAAGUCAUUUCGGCUAUUCCCUUGCAUUGCCCGUCUUUCAUUUAGCAGAUUCUUUAGCAUUUUCAUUGCAUUUUUCCUUCCCUGAAAAAGUAAAACAUUCAAGAAUCAAUACACAAAAGAAUGGAUUUUUUUUAACCUUGUUAUUUUGAACUGGAAUGACAAGGUUAACUACCUGUAAACAUUUGUGAUAUGCUGUUCCAGGAAUAUCCAGGGGAAAGGAGAUUAAUCCUUGUAUGAAAGCAACAAAAUUCUCCCUCAGAUUCUGGGUGGCAUUGUCUUGGUCAUAACUUAUCAGCUUUUUGGCCGUCAGAUCAAAUAUCAUCUGCAAAUAAAGACAUAAGGUAUAUCAUCAUUAGACUGCAUUCUGAAACUUAAAAACAUGAAUGUGGGGGGACGGUGUAUAUGUGUAAUUACACUAGCAGUUGCUUCUUUUAAUUCAACUGUUUCUUCGUUUGACCAUCGUUGUAAUCUUCUACAAGCUGUUCUCUCAACUUCAGGCAGCAUCUUUUUAAGGUUUUCAGGACCAAAUAGAUUAAGCACCAUAUUCUUUAGGUACUUGUACAUAAAACCAUGUAAAGAACCCACAUUUUGGCGUCCAAAGAUCUCGGUGAACGUAUCCGGGUACCAACUCUGAAACAAUUGCCCUUCUUGUAGAAACACAAAGUGAUUGAGAUCCGGGUCAGCCGAUACAAUCACCGGUCGCCCCACUAUGCUCGUUUUGAAUACCGGCCCAUACCUGCAACCAAGUAGUAACCAACAUGUUAUGUAAUGAAAAAAAAAAAACCAAAAACAGAAAAAAGAAACAAAAGAUUAUCAUUGAGGAAAAAGCAAAUUGACCUUUUCAUUCUCUCUUUAACAAAGGGAGGAAUAUCAUUAGUAGUAUUGGGGCUGAAGAACUGAAGAGUUUCCCCAAGAAGUGGAAAACCCAUAGAACCUGGUGGGAGUUUGCCAUUACAUCUAGGAUUCCUCCAGUAAUAAACCCAAUGUGUAAUGUAUGCAAUAAGAACCAAAGCUCCAAUCCACAACACCAACAUUCUCUCAAAAACUAUUUAUACACUGAAGCUAUAUGUAUAUCUUGGAUUGAAGGAAGAAGAAGAUGAAUGCUGAUAUAUAUUUAUGGUCUAGGAUUGAUGAAGAAGAUGAUGAAUGAUAAUUAGCAGAAAUGGAAGUAAAAGAAACGUGGGAAGAAUAGACAGGUA
This 1920-nucleotide long non-coding RNA is filed under the name Gossypium barbadense (sea-island cotton). Its description in RNAcentral is "long non-coding RNA (GBAR_LNC015154)". The record is from RNAcentral. Lineage: Eukaryota; Viridiplantae; Streptophyta; Magnoliopsida; Malvales; Malvaceae.